This 450-nucleotide ribosomal RNA is filed under the name uncultured bacterium. RNAcentral describes it as "partial 16S ribosomal RNA". It matches the Rfam family "Bacterial small subunit ribosomal RNA", at positions 338 to 795 of the family's 1533-position model. The record is from RNAcentral.
CCUACGGGAGGCUGCAGUAAGGAAUAUUGGUCAAUGGAGGAAACUCUGAACCAGCCAUCCCGCGUGAAGGAUGAAGGGGCUCUGCCUUGUAAACUUCUUUUGUCUGGGGCGAAAAAGCUCGAUUUAUCGAGAACUGACGGUACCAGAAGAAUAAGCACCGGCUAACUCCGUGCCAGCAGCCGCGGUCAUACGGAGGGUUCAGGAGUUAUCCGGGAUCACGGGGGUGAAGGGGUGCGAGUAAGUCAUAGGUGAAAGGCUGUGGCUUAACCAUGGAAUUGCCAUUGAUACUGCAGAGCUUGAAGGAGGUUGAGGUUGGCGGAAUGUGACAUGUAGCGGUGAAAUGCUUGGAUAUGUCAUGGAACACCGAUUGCGAAGGCAGCUGACUGGACCUAUAUUGACGCUGAGGCACGAAAGCGUGGGGAGCGAACAGGAUUAGAUACCCCAGUAGUC